CCUACGGGGGGCAGCAGUGAGGAAUAUUGGUCAAUGGACGAGAGUCUGAACCAGCCAAGUAGCGUGAAGGAUGACUGCCCUAUGGGUUGUAAACUUCUUUUAUAAAGGAAUAAAACGAGGCACGUGUGCCUUUUUGCAUGUACUUUAUGAAUAAGGAUCGGCUAACUCCGUGCCAGCAGCCGCGGUAAUACGGAGGAUCCGAGCGUUAUCCGGAUUUAUUGGGUGUAAAGGGAGCGUAGAUGGGUUGUUAAGUCAGUUGUGAAAGUUUGCGGCUCAACCGUAAAAUUGCAAUUGAUACUGGCAGUCUUGAGUACAGUUGAGGUAGGCGGAAUUCGUGGUGUAGCGGUGAAAUGCGUAGAUAUCACGAAGAACCCCGAUUGCGAAGGCAGCUUACUAAACUGUGACUGACAUUGAUGCUCGAAAGUGUGGGUAGCAAACAGGAUUAGAUACCCCAGUAGUC
RNAcentral lists this ribosomal RNA (460 nucleotides) under uncultured bacterium. Its description in RNAcentral is "partial 16S ribosomal RNA". It matches the Rfam family "Bacterial small subunit ribosomal RNA", at positions 338 to 795 of the family's 1533-position model. The record is from RNAcentral.